RNAcentral lists this long non-coding RNA (391 nucleotides) under Homo sapiens (human). Its description in RNAcentral is "HSALNT0164661". Lineage: Eukaryota; Metazoa; Chordata; Mammalia; Primates; Hominidae. The record is from RNAcentral.
AGUUACUUUUGCUGAAGGUCAGAACCAAGGGAGAACUUCAAGAGCUCUAGCGUCCUGCACCAGAAGCCCCUGGGAGAUUAUCAAAAUGCAGAUCCCUGGGCUAUAUAUCAGGCCCAUGAAUAGAAAGUUCUAGACUAGGACCUGGGACUCCGUAACCUCUUAUGCAGAAGUCUACCAGUUUCCUCAGAUCUUGGAUAUUGAGCAAAUGGAGAAACAAAGAUGAAUAAGACACAAUCUCUGCCCUUAAGGAACCUGGUUUGAUGAAAACAAAGGGUAAAGGCCAUGAACUUAAUCUUUAGGGUGUCCUCAUCCUCCUACCAAGACGACAGCCAACACCUCACAAUGACAAAAGGAAAAUAACAAGACAGAGCAAAUCAUAGACCAGAGGUAA